CGCUGUUGACUUUCCUUCCACAAAUGGGAAUGAGUCUUUGCUAGUGUUUCCCCUCGGUGCAAAGCUGCACCGUGUGUCGGAGGGUAGACGCCGCACGCUGGCUUUGGCGCACAGAGUCCGCAGCGGGGAGGUAAACUCACGGCCUGAAGUUAAGAAAGUCAGCAGGCGGAUUGGGAAGCCUUCCUUUUGGACUCGGUCAAAGUGCCUACUUCAAGCCCAGGUUGCAUCUGCAGUGACAGCCGCUAACAGUUUCCAGAGCAGAGAAAAAAUUGGCAGUGCCCUCCUGGAAUGUUAGAAGAAGGAGGCAUCUCAUUUUCAUGGGAAGCAUCUUCUAAUAUCACCACUUCAGCAUUUCUGUUCCAAAGGCGCCCAAUUUGCAGCCCUCUGGGGUUAUUUGAGUCAUUCCAACUAUGGAAGAAAAGUAUGGAAGAAAUUCACGUGUGAUGGUCCACAGGUAUGAAAGGAAAGGAAAGAAUAAAACUCACAAAAGAUUCUUCU
Long non-coding RNA from Candoia aspera, 498 nucleotides. RefSeq lists it as uncharacterized. The transcript has 3 exons. The record is from RefSeq and is a predicted model, not a curated record. NCBI's taxonomy places the organism in Eukaryota, Metazoa, Chordata, Lepidosauria, Squamata, Candoiidae.